RNAcentral lists this ribosomal RNA (1484 nucleotides) under uncultured bacterium. RNAcentral's name for it is "bacterial SSU rRNA". It matches the Rfam family "Bacterial small subunit ribosomal RNA". The record is from RNAcentral.
AGAGUUUGAUCCUGGCUCAGGAUGAACGCUAGCGACAGGCCUAACACAUGCAAGUCGAGGGGUAACAGGGGAGCUUGCUUCCGCUGACGACCGGCGCACGGGUGAGUAACACGUAUGCAACCUGCCUGUAAUUGCGGGAUAGCCUUUUGAAAGGGAGAUUAAUACCGCAUGUGAUUAUAUUACCGCAUGGUAAUAUACUUAAAUGCAAAGAUUACAGAUGGGCAUGCGUUUCAUUAGCUAGUUGGGGGGGUAACGGCCCACCAAGGCUACGAUGAAUAGGGGUUCUGAGAGGAAGGUCCCCCACACUGGUACUGAGACACGGACCAGACUCCUACGGGAGGCAGCAGUGAGGAAUAUUGGUCAAUGGACGGAAGUCUGAACCAGCCAUGUCGCGUGCAGGAUUACGGCCCUAUGGGUUUUAAACUGCUUUUAUACGAGGAUAAAAUGUACUAUGUAUAGUAUAUUGCAGGUAUCGUAUGAAUAAGGAUCGGCUAACUCCGUGCCAGCAGCCGCGGUAAUACGGAGGAUCCGAGCGUUAUCCGGAUUUAUUGGGUUUAAAGGGUGCGUAGGCUGGGAAAUAAGUCAGCGGUGAAAGUUCAGGGCUUAACUUUGAAAUUGCCGUUGAAACUGUUUUUCUUGAGUAUAUUGGAAGUAGGCGGAAUGUGUAGUGUAGCGGUGAAAUGCAUAGAUAUUACACAGAACCCCGAUUGCGAAGGCAGCUUACUAUACUAUUACUGACGCUGAUGCACGAAAGCGUGGGGAUCAAACAGGAUUAGAUACCCUGGUAGUCCACGCUGUAAACGAUGAUAACUCGCUGUUUGCGAUAUACCGCAAGUGGCCAAGCGAAAGCGUUAAGUUAUCCACCUGGGGAGUACGCCGGCAACGGUGAAACUCAAAGGAAUUGACGGGGGCCCGCACAAGCGGAGGAACAUGUGGUUUAAUUCGAUGAUACGCGAGGAACCUUACCCGGGCUUGAAAUGCAUCUGACGUACUGUGAAAGCAGUAUUCUAGCAAUAGCAGAUGUGUAGGUGCUGCAUGGUUGUCGUCAGCUCGUGCCGUGAGGUGUCGGCUUAAGUGCCAUAACGAGCGCAACCCUUAUCAAUAGUUACCAUCAGGUCAAGCUGGGGACUCUAUUGAGACUGCCACCGUAAGGUGUGAGGAAGGUGGGGAUGACGUCAAAUCAGCACGGCCCUUACGUCCGGGGCGACACACGUGUUACAAUGGGGGGUACAGAGGGCCGCUACCUGGCAACAGGAUGCGAAUCUCAUAAAGCCCCUCUCAGUUCGGAUCGGAGUCUGCAACUCGACUCCGUGAAGCUGGAUUCGCUAGUAAUCGCGCAUCAGCCAUGGCGCGGUGAAUACGUUCCCGGGCCUUGUACACACCGCCCGUCAAGCCAUGGAAGCCGGGGGUACCUGAAGUACGUAACCGCAAGGAGCGUCCUAGGGUAAAACUGGUAACUGGGGCUAAGUCGUAACAAGGUAUCC